RNAcentral lists this long non-coding RNA (481 nucleotides) under Daucus carota (carrot). Its description in RNAcentral is "long non-coding RNA (DCAR_LNC002004)". Lineage: Eukaryota; Viridiplantae; Streptophyta; Magnoliopsida; Apiales; Apiaceae. The record is from RNAcentral.
UAAACCAGCAUGACAAUGGCGGGUUGAAUAAUCAAGAAGAUCCCAAUUCAUUCAAAGCUCUAACUAUCACUGAGCAACACAUGCUUCAAUGACAAUCUGAACUUCGAAUUAAUUUGUAAAACGGAAAUUCUUUAGAAACUUGAAGAUUAGAAAGAAUGGGUCAGAAUACUCGCACUUUCGAACAUUGAAAAGAAAGGUAUGAAUACUUGAAACAUAUACCAAAGGAAUGGAUCAGAAUAAUUGCAAUAUAUCCAAGAGAAAGGUUUAGGAUACUUGCAACAUAUACCAAAGGAAUGGAUCAGAAUAUUUGCAAUAUAUCCAAAAGAAAGGUGUAGGAUACUUGCCUUAAAUCUGACUCCAGUCUCACAUCUCUAUCUCAUCUUUCCAAUCUCAUACUCUAUGCAUAUCAUAGUCUCUAGACCAUCUCUGGCUAUACCCUAUUCGCCACACCACUUCACUUACUCGACUCAUUCUUUAUUCG